UUACUCUAAUUUAGCCAUGGGGGUGCUCGAAAUCAAAUUUUAAGUGGAUAGGAGAAUUUUUACCUUUUUUGGUGGUCGGAGUGGUUCUAGUGCGACGGUGGUUGGCGAUCCGCUCCCUUCUCCAAUGACUGGUUCUUCUUCUCUGACGGGAGGCUAGCGGCUAGGGUUUGGGUUCAGUGUGAUAUGAAAUAUUUAUAUCCAUCUUGCGUUAAUCUGAACCGUUCAUCGCGUUUGAUCUCGACCGUCCGAUCACAUUUAAAGAGAAAAUGAAUCUGUACUAUUCAUCGCGAUUUGAUCUUGACUGUUCGAUCGCAUUUAAAGGGAGAACAAAUCCGGAC
This 338-nucleotide long non-coding RNA is filed under the name Carica papaya (papaya). RNAcentral describes it as "long non-coding RNA (CPAP_LNC009380)". Lineage: Eukaryota; Viridiplantae; Streptophyta; Magnoliopsida; Brassicales; Caricaceae. The record is from RNAcentral.